This 2970-nucleotide long non-coding RNA is filed under the name Coffea arabica (coffee). RNAcentral's name for it is "long non-coding RNA (CARA_LNC007599)". The record is from RNAcentral. Lineage: Eukaryota; Viridiplantae; Streptophyta; Magnoliopsida; Gentianales; Rubiaceae.
UUUUUUAAUGGGGGAUGUGGAGAAGAAGCAGGAAUGAAAUAAUGGGCAUAAAAACAGAGAAAUUUGACUAGCAAGUGACAGUAAUCAAUUGUCUUAACUAUUGGACUAAGGUUUAAUGAUUAGAUGCACUGUGCUCUUCCGCUGUGUUCCAUUUUGCAGGCUUCGUCAUCCAGAACUUUCAGCCCAGUAACCUUUUAUCCUGGAUCCAAAUGAGCCACCAUGACAUGCAGAUGUAGCUUCUAAAUCUGGACGAAUGGAGCAAAGUUAUCUGUCUGGGUUUGUAUGCUUUUUGUUCUUUAAUUUGAGCCAACUCAGGCCCAAGUAUGUUUCAUUUGUCACUCCUUCAAAGCAUGGCUCAAAAGCUUUAGCUUGACAUGCAAAUGAGCUUUGUAAUGCUUAAGUUUUGAGCGAACCAAGCAAUCUACAAACAAGUUCGUAUUUGCCUUGUUUGAGUUCUUGAUUUCGAACACAAAAUUAGACUGGUGGAAUAAUUUAGCCGCCCUCUCUUCUCCUCCCUUUCUUAAAUCUGGUCGUAUGAUUCGAUCGUGACCAAAUCUAUUCACACGACAAAAUUCCAUUGAAAAAGAGGACGAAGGUGUUUCGUUAACCCUUCCCUCUUCCCCCACCCCCUCUUCACGUCAUCACCUCCACUUUUCCCUCUCUCUCCUCCCCUUUCAUCCCCCUCCCUUGCAUUUAGAGCUGUUAAGCGUAACGAGCUACUCGAAAGCUCGUUAAGGCUCGGAUCGAUAAGGCUCGAGCUCGGCUCGUUAAUUUCAAUUAACGAGCCGAGCUCGAGCUCGAUAAAUACUCGUUGAGUUAUCGAGCCGAGUAAGCUCGAACUCGAUUCUUUAUCGAGUAGCUCGGUUGAGCUCGACAAAGAAGGGUAUUUGUGUCAUUUUAGCAGUCAACAAGUAGAAAUUUGGACUAGGGUUGAUAUUGCAUCGUCUCAUACUCUCAUUCUUCAUUUCUGCCUCUCCCUCUCCGCUGCACGCCGCACCCAGUAACCCACAGCCGCACCCACAGGCCACAGCCCCGCAACGCCGCAGCUCCGCAACCCUGCAACCCUGCAGCCCGGAUCUGGAUCAACCCUGCAACCCCGCAGCUCCGCAACCCUGCCAGCCCCGCAACACCGCAACCCGCAACCAGUAACCCACAGCCGCACCCACAGCCCCGCAACGCCUCAGCUCUGCAACCCCGCAGCAACCCCGCAGCCCCGCACAACCCCGCAACCCCGCAGCCCGCAACCCCGCAACACCGUAACCCCGCACUCCACAGCAAGCCGCACUCCACAGCUGCAACCCACAGCAACCUCUGCCUCCACUGCCGCCCACAGCCUCUGUUUUCUGCCAUUAACAACCCCGUCCACGGCCAGGGCCAAAACCAGUCCAAUUUGACUGGUUUCUCUAAUCCUUCGUGAUAUUUGGUAAGUCUCGUCUCUUUUCGUAGGUUAAUUGUACUGAAUGACAAGAGUUCAUUCUUGUCUCUUUUCUGGUUUAGUAGCAGUUGGUAAUGUAGUAGUUGACACAUCUCAUAUGUACAAGGAUGGAUCAACAAAUUUUCUUCUCGCGUGAGGACUGCAUCCAACCUCUUUGUUUUAUUCCUUUCUGCAAUAACUUGCAGUUCAAUCAUAGAAAUUUAAUGUGGAAAAUCUAGAUUAUGCUUAUUAAUAUCUGAUAAUUUUAAAGAGUACUCGAAAAGAUAACGUCUGAGUUUUUGCAGUAGUUUUACCUUUUCUUCAUGGAUUUCUUGGGGGGAUGGGGUGGGGAAGCAAGAAGUGUUCUGCUUGUGGGUAUAAUCUGCUGCUAAAUGUGCCUAUAAAUCUUUUCUAAAACUUAAUUAUUAGUACAAUUAGAUAUUGCACUUCAAUAUCUGGAGGAUUGAAAGGGAAGAAAAUAAGUAUGGUUGAUUAAGACUUCUUAUUUGUGAAAUUUGAGAAAAAAGAUGUAAGGAUGUUAACCUUGAUAUCAAAAAAGCCUUACGGACUUAAUUUGGACAGCAUACUUCUUUUUUUUUGGGUAAAUUUUUGAUCUUUUGAAUGAAACAUGUCAAUGUUCGUGAGCUAACUGUUGCACUAUCACAGGGAUUGAUUGGCCUUUCAUUUCAUUUCAUUUCAAUUUCAAAGUGUUUGAUUAGUUUGAUAUUUUCGUCUUGGGGCCAUUUAUGUGUGUGUGAAUUGAGUUAAAUGAAUUGUUGAAUGAAUAAUAUAGGCACUACACCAUAUGUGCCUUCAUCUAUUUUGUUCAGCCUCUCGAACUCAUCAACACUUUUACAACCCUGAAGCAUGUUCACGGCCCUUGGUGGAGGAACUGCAUGUUCUGGUGUCCCGUGGGAGUUGUGUUCAUCAUCAGAACCAGUAUCCGCAUUGCUACCACUGGUUCCACCAUAACUGCGAUCUUCAUCAACCUCCAUGUACUCAUUCCUGUCCAAUUCAUCAGGAUCACUAUCUCCACUAAAGGAUCUAACGCGUUCAUCAGAAGACCUGACCCUAUUUCCCACUGAACCUUCUCUCCUCAGUUCCAUGUACUCAUUCCUUGUGAAGCUGUACUUAUUCUUGUGAUUUCUGAAGGGGUUGUACUUUUUCUUGUCAGGUGUUUGAAGUUGGACAAUUUUUAAGCUAUGUAGCAGUGUUUUACAUGGUUAUUUGGCUGUAGUUUGUGCGUUUAUUUGGCUGGACAAAACCUGUUAUGGUAUAUUGGCUCUUAUGAAUGUUGUUUCAUAUGGAAUUAGACUGUAGUUUGUGUAUUUGUUGACUGCAGCCCUGGAGUUUGUGUUGUAUGGAUCAUGGAUGUUAUGGUCUUAUUUGUCUUGGAUGAAAUGUGGUUAGAGUUUGUGUAUUGUUGAAUGUGAAUGGCAUUGGUUGCCAAUCCUAAUAUUUUUUGUUGAUUUUGGAUAGCCUAAAUCUGGAUAUGUUGGAGCAGGACUUCGUAAAUAACUGAUUGUUGAAUUUUGAAAUCGAGCCUCAAAAUCGAG